Long non-coding RNA from Papaver somniferum (opium poppy), 4631 nucleotides. RefSeq lists it as uncharacterized. The transcript has 8 exons. The record is from RefSeq and is a predicted model, not a curated record. Lineage: Eukaryota; Viridiplantae; Streptophyta; Magnoliopsida; Ranunculales; Papaveraceae.
AUAUAUAAAAAAUAAAUAUAUUAAGGCUUGUUUAUAAUCAGAACUAGACCGAUAAUUAUAGACUAAAAAUACAACGGCCGAAAACCCUGUCACUAGUUUUCAUGUCCGUACAAAUUAAAACUCUAAUCCCCCCCUAAAUUUUCUCCUCUCAAAUCUAGUUCCCCUGAAAGAUACAACUAUCAAAACCCUGACUCUCCCUUGAAUCCCUUCACUCAGAUCAUUAACAUUCUUGCUCAAAAAUUCAAAAUGGCUUCAAAAAACCAACCAUCAGAAACAUUACAGUUGAUAGUAGUGGAUUUUGUGGAUCCCUAGUACUUGUACCUGGGAUUCACAAGAACCCAGAUUGUAAGAAAGCUAAAUUCCUAUAGAAUAUAGAUCUACUUUUGUGAUUUGCUAAACAUGUUGAUUUAGUUUAUUUGUUUUUGAAAAUUCGGUUUGUAUUGUCAAGCAAUCCAAGAUACCUAAGACUCAAAAAAAAAGUCAUCAUACUGGUAAAUCUUCCUGGAGACGUCCCUAGAAAUGUUGAAGAUGAUGGGGAGGGAAGCAGAAGCAGCAUCACCACGACCAACAAUGGUGAUGAGAUUGAAGAAGAUAACAACGCUUGAAGAUGUUUAUUUGUUUAAGAUCAAUAACGUAUUACCUAAUUAAUUAUGUAGGAUCUAUUAGCAUAUCAAGUUUGAAAUUAUCAGUUUAUGGAUAAGUUUAUUGAGUUCAAUAAUGUAGAAUUUUAAAAAAGAGAAAUUAUGGAGAAAAAAGAUAAACCAAAACUCUGAUCAUUCUUACAAAAAUAAAUGUGUUUUUGCUGAUCCGACGGAUGUAAAGAGGAUUUUUUCUUGAAUCAAUGGCUGCUAUUCUUUCAAAAGUGGAGGAAAGUGCACAAAAACAAAUGUGUUUUUGCUGAUACGGCCGAUGUAAAGAGGAUUUUUUCUUGAAUCAAUGGCUGCUAUUCUUUCAAAAGUGGAGGAAAGCGCAAAAGAUAAAUCUCGGCUUAAAAUACACCCAUAUUUUAAGCCUUCAUCCGCCUUCAUCCACGUCUCGGAGUGUCUCACGUACUCUUCCGCUUCAUGAAAACAUUACAUUCAAUGUGCCUAAUUAAUCCCUUGACAAAAAUGAAAGCAAAACGCACAUAACAUAAGAACCAAGUCCCAUCCGUUUCAAAUCCCAAUUAAUGGGAUUAUGUUGAAUACCUUUUUCUUCUCUGAAAUCAAUAUGGAGUGCAAUUGAACGGAAUCUUCCUUGAACCUCAUUAACUCACCCACAUACGUUUCUUCAGCUCAAUAGGUCGAAGAAGAACAGAUUUUUGUUGGUGCACGACAUAUUCCCGGACAAACCAACAUCCAUCCUAGAUUUCACCAGCUCUUCCUGUCGUCUCUACUACAUACAGACCUUUCAGUUAUAUAAGCCAAGCUGAAGGAGGCAAACCCUGGAUAACAUACAUUCUGAAGUAGAAUGAGUUUCAUACGGAAGAAUGAUGUUACAAGCUUAAAUGUCUUCAUGAUCAAUGAAAAUGGUGAUGAGUUGCAAGGGAAUGGAGCUAUAUUCACUUAAAACACACUCAUAAUUUUGGUGACAGAAUUUUUUUUCUCCUUGCUUGCAAUCACCACCGCUUUUUAUUCAAGUGGGAAACUGAAUGGUUUUUACCAAAUUUUUUUGGGUGGAGUAUCUGCAAGAAAUGAAGGGAGCCAACUGUCAGCCUUGCAUGAUGCACGCCUUAACUCUUCUGAACCUAAGGUACAAACGUAUAUAUGAGCUAACCUUUCAGCCACAUUCGACAUUUUUAGGAUUGAGCCUAAAAGUUUUUAUGAGAGCCAACGGGAAGAUAACAUUAUAGGGUGAGUCAACGAACGAGCUCCGGUGAUCCUAGACACAUAUUGAAUGAAGGAAACAACUGUUGAUGCGUAGUCUUAUCGUCCUAUGUCAAAAAAUAUCAAGGGAAGUAUUCUUUCUCCUCCACGAAUGCCACUAAGGUCUUCUCAAACUUGACGUGGGGUUCAUGACAUGAAAGAAAGAAACUGGGAGUUCCUUGAUGGGGUACAAAACGGUUUUGAUUGUAGCUAUAUGCUUUGAAGAAAAUUCGCAAAGCUGAAUUAAGUCGUUUCAUGGACUAUACUCGGUAAAACUGAUUGUUGCUUCGCUCGACAGCCUCGACUUGGUUCUAAAGUAAUUGGGUGAUCUUUUUUAUACUCUUAUUGGUCCUUAUACUUGAUAAACUCAUGAUAACAGAUGAUUGCAUGCAGUGUAUCGAUCCUACAUUUUUUAAGGUAUGCAAACAAAAAUUCUGUGAUAGAUUACCACCCUUUUUGGUGCUUCAUGAACUUAUUCGUAUGGCACUAGAACAACUUAUGUUUCAUUUCAAUUAUUAUUAUUUUUCUCAAAAGAUUUCGAAGUGGACUUCGCUUUCAUGGAUCUCAACAACCUUGGAGAUUGAAAAAGGUAUAUUGGAAUGGGGCUUCUCCAAGGAUGUGGCUAGCAAGAUUCCAUGGAAGCGCCUGUACUCCGAAGGACCUGAAGUGAUUUUUCUUCGAUAAGUAUAAACCUUGAAGAUAUGCAGCGAACAUAUUGCUUCACGAUAUCUCCGAAGCGCCUGUAGUUGCAUUUUAUCAAUGUUUUCAUAUCUUUAUGUUGAGUGGACUUCCAACUUCUAAGAGUUAUAUUUUAAAGUAAAUUUUUAACCAAUUUAUCCCUGCCAUCUCUCAUCGUGGAUCAUAUUUAUGACUAAUAUGCUGAUCUCUAUGUUAUGAUUAAUUGGGGGCUCUGGCUGAUACUCUUACCCGAUGCUAUUUUUUUUGAUCAGAAACCCGAUACUGUUGGUGCAUGUCUGCGUAUAUGUUUUAAAGUUUUUACUUAUUCCACCGCUUUUGUGUUGCAGUUACUGGAUGGUCGGCUGGCCUUUAAUAUAUGUUUUUCUAACAAUAGCCGGGAGCAGUAGUGGGGGUUUAAGGACGAGGGCUUAGGAAGCAAUGAAGAGUCUAGGAAUAGAAGGACACUUGCAAACCAUGAGAGAGAUUAUGGAAGCGUCUAUCAAAAUCCAAAAAGGGAAGUGAUAAUUCAAUUUGAAUACUUAAAUACGUGCACUCAUCUGCAUUACUAAGUUAGUGACGCUAUGUAUCCAUGAUAAAGGAGAUUUUUAAGUUAUUUGACAAUGGAAGGCAAGACAUGAUUGAUUGCAUGUAGAUAUAUUCUAAGUCAAUGAUAUAAUGUCUUCCAAAGGAUGUCAUUUGCACUUCACUUAUCAGGUAGGGGCUAUCGUUUAAGAAGCUAUGUUAAUAAUUGUAGAAUCACUGGACCAUUUUAACCUAUUAUAAGAGUUACUUUUAGAGUUUAGAGGGUCAUUGGCAUUUGAAUCUCCCCUAGCACUGACAUUUUUAGUGGUGAUAUAGUUCUGAUUGGGAAUCAGUGGCAUCUCUCUAUCUUUUUAUUUGGUUGCAUUGGCUGCAAAACUCUAUGCACAUUUAAUUUUUGUUUAACUAAAUUUUUUCCAUUGACCAUUAAAUAUCUUUGUUUAAAACAACUUCCAUUUAUACGGAUUUUAAAUUCAGUGUUCGAGUUGUAGUUAAGCCCUAUUAUCUGUUAUGUUCUCCUCUCAUGGUGGGUGUUAUGUAGGGUCUAAAAGAGUUCGAUACCACCAUAAACUGAAAAAUGUUUCUGUUUUAUGAAAUUUGUUAGUUUGUAAUUUAUAGAAAAAAGAGUUGAUUAGUGCUAAUUAGGUUUGUUAUACGGUUUUGAGGUGCAGUGACUGUGAAAUAAAAAUGUAUUGGUCAUUUAGUCUUUUAAAAGGCUACUUUGUUUAGUGGGUGUGUAGUAUAGGACGAUACGUUGUUUAUCUGUUUUUCCUUAGUAGAAAGCAUCUUAAGCAGGUGCUAAAUUAUAUAGCUUAGCAGAACUUAUUUCAUUUCCAUUUGCUUUUUUAGAAAAUGGAAAGCAUCUUAAGCAGGUGCUAAAUUAUAUAGCUUAGCAGAACUUAUUUCAUUUCCAUUUGCUUUUUUUUGAGUUGUUUCCAUCUAUUAGCUUAUUAACGUUACUUUUUUUCCCCACAUUUCGCUGAUUGUUAACAGAUUAUUAAGUGAGCUCAACACUUGAUUCUAACAAGGUACACUCCCUGAAUAUGCAACACCAACCAUAAUACAAACCGGGAGUGGAAACAUUGUCUUUUGCUCCAGCCGAUCUCCCCCUUCUACGUCUGACUUAUUCAAGCUUACAACAGGCACAUUGAGCUUCUACAAUAACUGUUCAAAGCUGGGAGGGCCUAGCCACUCUGAUGCGAAGCCAUUGAGCCUCUAUGAGUGAUACCGGAAGAGAUCAAAACCAAGAGCAGUAUGCACGGCAAGAAUAUACUCCUGAAUAGUCGAGUAUGUGAAGUCUAUACUGAGGACCGUCUCAUGGGAAAGGAAGUCUAGACCGCCUAGAGCCCCCAAUUAUUGAGGGCCCAUUUUUUUCUUUAUUAUAAUCGAUCUGUGAUAUUAAAAGUGUUACUAAAGUGUUUAUCACACUUAUUAAAUUACAGACGGUUGUGACAGUGGUAACUGUAACAUAUUUUGUAAUAGAUAAAAGCGCCACUAGAUUUUUAGUUUUUGAAAUUGAUAACCCAUUUUGGGUUACUUUAUGCCAAAUUACAAGCUUGGAAUCCAAAA